GCCUCAUAUCAUUGAAAUUCCUAAAAAUUUAUAAAUACCCUGAAACUCUUGUUUCUGGUGGGCCAAAAGUUUUUAUAUGAGAAAGCACUGUUCUUGCCUUACGAACAUGGAGAACAAAUUCCUGUCUCUGUAUUGCUGUCUUUGUUGUGGUGAAUGGUUAAGAUUGCUGUCUGAACACAGCAAGCUGUGAUUAAUAACAAACUUUUGUUAUCAGACUCCCCCACACACUUAAGCUGGGAAGUGCUCUGGAUGAAUAAUGCAUAUUUGAUGACUCUUGUGUUCCUCACAACUCUGAAAAUGCUUUAGGUGAAUGCUAGAAAAUUAUACCUCAUUGUAUGAAGUGAGCCCAUGGGACUAAAAGAAAACCUUUUUUGGGAAAGGAAGCAACCUAGCCAUUGUCAAUAAUUGUUGGCUACAAUAUAAAAAGUGCUAACAGUAACCUGAAAUCUGAAAAGAGUAAAUUUGUGAUAUUCUUUGAAAAAGUCUGUCUGAACUUUGCUUCGAAAAUGUUGAAGCAUUUUGCUCAUCUCAGUUUUUCUGCUGUGCACAGAUACACACUGAUUAUGGCAGUUUAGGAGGGAAUCUUUGACACUGCCUGCUAAAUGGCACAGUGACCACUAAAGUAAUGCAUUAAACCACAAACACUGGGAUCUGUGCUCAGUAGAAGCCCUUUUUUAGUAAGAGUUAGGAAGAUGCAAGAGCUCUAAAGGAUGGCAUUCUCGCUCUCUGCUGCAGCAUAGCUCCAGUUGGUCUCAGGAAGGGAAAACCUUGUCUGUUGUGCCUCUCAUCAGCCUGCUGGUGAGAUGUCCUUAGCGUGAAGUCUCUUAAGAUUUUGUAUGUCUGUGUUAGAGAGCAAGUUUACAUCACAGAAGGAAUGUAGUCUCAGCCAGAGAGUAACUGUUGGUGGUGGUGUCUGUGGUGUGGAAGGGGAACACUGACAUCUCCAGACAAUGCUGUGGCUGUGCUGCUGCAGGGCUGGGAUCACCUCUGCAGGAGGCAGUCCUGGAAGAAAGGGGAAGAAAGAAGAAAGAUUUGCAGGACUGUGCAACUGGGAUGGGGUGUCUCAGCAAGAGGGCACCAGUGGGCUAUGGACCAGGGACACUGGUCCUAUCUGUUGCUUCGUGGAGCAAGAGAGGGAAAAGAGUGGAGGAAGCAGUGCCUCCCCGAGGAGACUGAAAUGGUAAAGGAGCUUGGGCAUGGCUCAGCUCAAUGCCUGCAGCUCUGGAGAUCCCUCUUCUAGUUGUUAGUGACAUCCAGACAGCUCUGCGUGUAGUUUUCCUGUGCCUUUUUUACAUCACUGUAAGAUUGGGGAAAAUGUGUUCAUAGUAUGAAUCUGUACCAGACUUCCAUUUGACUAGUCCAGUGAAACUGGGAUGUCACCUAGACAGCAGGAGGAAACAGAUAAGAAAAGUAUAAUAAGAAAUUGAGAUAAACAUCAACAUGAUAUAAAGAAUAUUUUCCAAAUUUGAGAAAAAUCAGAGGAAGUAGUAUCUUCUUAAAGUUAAUUUAUUGGAAGAAAUGACAGGGGUUUAAAAUAAUGUUUUUCGUGUCACAGAAGGCCAAAAUACUUGGAGGACUUUGAAUGUGUCUUAAAAGUAUUUAUAUGUGCUGUAACACAGGUAAAGAUUGUUCCAGUAGAUUCUUCAUAAUUUACAGAGAAGCCACAGAUAAAGACUUUGGGAGGAACCUGAUGCCACAUUGCAAGCUUAUCUACAAGUUUAUAUAAAACUUCAAAUAUGUGCAAGAAGUAUAUUGCCAUCAACUGUAGCUAUGUAGCUUUGUUUUAGAACUAAAACAUCUGAUGCAGCUCAAAACUGUUUGUUUGUUUGUUUGGUUUUUUUUAAUGUAUGCUAGAGCUGUUGAAGAAAAAAAAUUAUAACUAAUCACUCCAGGUUUCUUUAACUGUUUCAGUUACAUCUAAAAUAGUAGAGGAAAGUCCUUGUUUGGAGCAACAUCAACUUGUAAAUGUUGUGUAUGAAAACUGUACAACAAUAAAUAUAAGAAAACUAACAAGACCCAUUCCUAUAAGUUCUCUAAACUGUGAGUAGAAACACAGUUACCUACAAAUGCUUGAAGAAACUUACAUGUAAUUCUUCAAUUACAUUAAAGCAUGUUAAUAAAGCUUGAUUAAAGCUAUCUGUUAGUAGUAACUACUAAUGGAUAUUGAUUUAUAUUAAAGAACAAUUAAAAUAUUAAAGCACAUUAACAAACAUGCUUUGCUUCUAUUUGCGUCUUUGAUUUUCUUCCAUAAGUAGAGUUUUCCAAAUGUAUCUGGAGUUUUCUUGCUUGCUGGUUACUGGGUUCUCAAUUUUAGCUAUGGAUUAUGUAAAUAUUCACUUUGGUGUCCUUUGGAAAACACUACUAGUGCUCCCAUAAAACCUAAAAACCCUAUCUUUAUAUUUUUUGUAUAAAUCAGGUAAUUAAAGUUGGAAAAAUAAUUAUCAUUCUGAGAUUGAUAUGUGCCUUUAAAUUACCAAAUAUUGUGGCUUUAAUUGUUUUCUGUGUAGAUGAUGUGUGUUUUGCUGUUCACAUCACAAACAUAUAGCUAACUGAACUUCUGUCGGUACUCUUUUCCUAUUGCAACAGUUCCCUAGGCAAAUCUGCUAAUGAGCAUGCCCCAUAGGGCCUAUGGUAACUGCUUCAAGUGGCCAUGUACUUAAUUAAUGCCAAGAUGAUGCCCUGUACAUCCAAUGAGUUAUCUGUGCCACAUGUGAGUGUGUGUGAAUGUGCCAGUUGACUGCUUACAGGUGCUGCAACCUUUUGAAAAACAGUAUGCAUCCAUCCUUGGUUUUAGAAAGAGAGGGUUUAGAUGACCAUGGUUAAAGUUUCAUUCUCUUCAGAGGCCUGGUUACAAAUGGAGCUCCUUGGGAUCUCCUUCUCUGGACAUUUUCAAGACCUUAAGAAUCAAACCUCUAAGUAACCUUGUCUGAAUUCCAUGUUGAUCCUGCUUUAAGCAAGAGUUUGGACUUGAUGACCUCCAGAGACCUUCUGAGGUAUGCAGGAGAGGACAUUCUGCUGUGGGUCCUAAGAGUUUGUAACAGCUUAGUCCUGGGAAGAGACAGGUUGUAAGAUACACCCCUGUUUAUACAGUCAUACUGGUUAGAUCAGGCUGGUCCUGUCUUAGCAUAGUGACUUCUAUGGGCCUCGUUCUUGGAUGCCUGAAUCUUCCUUUUAACGUAAAAAACUGAUGUUAUUUAUGAUAAACACCUAACUAAAACAGACAACACAAAAAUUUUCCCUUGAAUAGAGAACUCCAGAGUAGAGGGCUCAUUAAUUAAUUUUGCAUCAACCCCAUGGCUAAUCAUUACUAGAAUUUUAUGACUACUUCACAGAAAGGUUGAUAUAACUGAAACUUACUUUGGGUGAAUCAUUCACAUGAGCUAGGCAAACAUUUGCCUUCCUUUUUUGCUCGUAAGUUUUAUUUAAUGUGUAUUUUUUUCUACCUUUUUUACCUCAGAAUAUGUAUGUGAAUUGUCUUGAUAGCUCAUCAUCGCUUACAGAUUUUGCAUUUCCACCAAGAGAGAUGGGAACAGCCAUUGUACUAAAGAGGACAAGCAGGAAAACGUGAGUAGAUUACAUGGCCAUACUCUCAUAUGAUAACCAAGGAGGAAAUGUUACCUUAAUUUCUACAAAUUCACGCAAUAAAGGAGCUGACAUAGCAUGAAUGAGAACCAACUCAUAGUCUGUCUAUCUAAUAUCCUGUUUCUGAUGAUGAGUCAUAUCAAUUGCUUUAAAAGAAAACAUGGACAAUUGGAAAUAGAUUUACAGGUGUGGAAGAUUAUACCAGAACUGUCUUAACCUCUUCUAGUUACAGAUUUGUUUAGUCUUCUAAAGUAUUUUUUGGACAUUGAUAACUAUAGUAACUCUUAAUCUAUAUAAGUAUCUGCUCACUCUUUCCUGUCUGAGAAGAGGAAUGUGAAAUAUUCAUUGGGGAAUCCUGAAGCCAAAUGAAAGACCUUGGCUCCCCCAGUCCUAUGGAAAAUAACAGUGGCAUUCCUUAUAAUUUACAGACAUUUCCCAGUACAUGCUAAUUUUAACAUGCCUUUAAUACAACUUUAUGCAAUUAAAGAAGUACAGAUAUUCACAUCUUUACCUUUUUCAGUUUAUGCAUUUCUCUACCACAUAAAUAAUCAGAUUCAGAUGAGACCAGAACACAUGUACAUACAUGUAUACAUAAACAUCCACACCUUUCCCUGAAGACUGAAUUUGCAGAUCUUCCUGUUGGAACUGAAAAACAUCUGCUAAAUAUUUUCUGCUCCAAGAGAAAUGAAUGGAGAUUGUGACACCUCUAGCUCUGGGCAGCAGCUUCUGGGAAAGCUCUUUACCAACAAGUGUAAGAAGAGAAGCUGAAGGGAAAAGUGCCAAUCUGAGCAGCUUCUCUUGAAAUACUGCGGUAUACAGCACAAGACAGUGGCAGCAAAACUUUUACUUCAUGGAUUAAGUGCAUUUUUCUUGGUUACUCUGGAAGAUGCUUGUUUGGCAGUUUCUUUUUGCAUGAUGCCAAAGCAGUACAUCCCUCCUGCCAGCUUUGUUUUCAUGAUGAUUGAGUUUCCUGCCAUAUACCUGAUAGAUGAGAAAAAAAAUGGGGACAUUUGUGGCAAGUCACUCUACUUUUGCUGCUGAACCAGCACUGACCAUGGAGAUGACACUUUAAAUGUGAAACCUAAAGAGUCUCUUCCAAUCAGGACCAUAAUGUUUCUGUUUCGCUCAGUCUUCUUUCAUCCACUGAUAAAUGAAUUUUACAAAAUACCUGACCAAAACUUCUGAUUCUGAUCAAGGGGAAUCUUUCUUUUGGCCUUAAUCAAUUUUAGAUCAGGCCUUCAAAGCAAAGAACUGGUUUGUUAACUUGAAGAAUGCUUCAGUUUCCAAGGAUGGUUGAUUUGGGCAGGACUAACAUAGAGUAACCACUGUGGUGAUAAACUGUCAACUGUUAUGGUGCUGUGAAUCAAUGUUCUGCUGAGGAACUGAAGGUCUACCCUUUCAAAAGGUUAUCAUGCAUGCUCUAUGGUUUUUCUUUUUUUUGGAGGGGGGGGGGAAAUACCUCACUUACCUAACUGUCAAAGGUUUAAUACAUGGGGCUGUAAAAAUGAGAUAUUUUUCACAUUAAUUAGCCUUAAGCAGGAAGAUAAUAUUUUUGCCAUUAUAGCGGUUCCCCAUUUUUAGCUGUAUUUCAACAUAACUGAAAGCUUGAACAGUGUUCAAAGUUGUGUUUUUUUUUUUUUUCUUUUUUGUGCUGAGCAAAAGUACCACUAUUUUAAAGAAUCUCACGUAAAACACAUAGCAUUAUUUCUCUGGCUCAGUCAUCCAAUUUUUAAUGUUUUUCAUUUAAAUGAAUAGUACAGACAUUCAAAAUUCUUUUGGCAAGAAAAGAGUUAGUCUAUGUGUGGUACGCUGUAAAAUUUUACUGGAUGGAUCUUUUCUUUUACAUUACGGCUAUGAUUUCAACUAUUAAUCAAAAUAAUUGAUGUGUUUUAUAAACACACAUUCAAGUUUGUUUGUUUUUUUUCCUUAUUCUAAGUGGUUCUUUUAGGAAUUGUCAUAUAUAAACACCAAAAAGAACUGAAGAAAUGUAAAUUAGUCUAAAAUGCUUUUAUUUCUGAAAUUAGAUGUUUGUAAUCUCUCUUACUGCAUUAUUUUUCAGUUGCAUGAACAGAUAAGCUGCUCUGCAAAGUUCCAAGUUUCUAUCUGUAAAAAAACCUCACUAAUAACAUCACAUUUCAAAAGAGAUGAAUAUUUAAUAUAGAUUUUCAAAAUGUUAAGACUAGAUACAAACUGCAAAUCCUUUGCUUUUGCUUUUUUCUUUCUACCACACAGAUAUAUGUACUGUGAGAUUCAUUCCAAAGUAGCAUUUCUGGAUAAACCAAAGCUACAUGACAACAGAAGUUAUAUCUAUAUUGGUGACUGGGAUGAAAUGCUUAAUUUAUUCUCUAUGCAAUUCCACAAAUGAGAGGAUAACCCUGGUAAGCUGCAGUAAUCAGGCAUGGCAACUCAGCAGGGUAUCCACAAGGCUACCUAAAGUAGUCUUUGGCAGGUCUUAAUGAAUUUUGUAGUUGUUGCCCAAAGCAAUCUUGUGGUCUGUUGCAAAAUAAUAUGUGGUUGAGUUACUCACAAGGCAAUUACAAUGAUUCGGGUUGUGGAAAACUGAGCUCACUAGAGGUAGAAUCAGAUAUUCAGCUGUUGUAAAUCACUUUGACUGCACUAAUGUCAAUACUGUACAAGGGCCUGAUAAUCUCCGUUUGUAAGAAAAAUGUUUCCCAAAGAUGUGAUCCAAAGACCAAUGAAGUCAUUGGGAGGUUUUCUAUUAAUUUCAAUCACUUUUAGAUCAGUCUGCAAGUAUUUAAUGUUAAUCUAUUUUUAAAAAUAAAAUACAGGUAACCUUGGAGGCAAGUACAAACACAUAUUUUUAGAAAAAGACAUAUCCAAAACAUUAAACUUCAAAUAAAACUUCAAACGAGAAGCAGAUUCAGAACCUCUAACAACUUUAGGCAAUGAAUUCCACAGAUCAUUACAACUCUUACAGGCUGUGCUUUGCUCUCCCACUAUACCUUUCUAUAGUUUUUAUCUCCACUAUGAAAUGCUUGUAAACACAUGCACCAAUAUAGCAUAGUACAAUUACAAUGCUGUGCAGUUAAUGAGAUUAACUUCCACUGGUGUGUCCAGCUGAAUCUAUUGUGAUCUAUCCCAUUUGUCUAUUUAUUUAUUUAAUAUUUAUUUAUUUAUUUAUUCAUUCAUUUAUUUAGUGUUCUGUGGUUGACUGCUGGAGGCCUGAAGGGACUUGUUUCAAAGGAAUAGGUGUGUUUGGGAGCUGUUUGAUUGACUUUGUACACAGCUGUAUGCAUUAGUGUCUACUUAACAAAGUAACAGGGCAAAUGGUUGGUUGGAGCAGAGGAAGAGAAAUGCCAUGCGUUUUAGCAAAGGUACUGUUACCUUGUGCCAGAACAGACUGCUUGUGGGACUAGUGUAAAUGAAAACACAGAUAUAGACACUGAGCUCAUGAAUAAAAAUCCAGGUCAUUAGGUCUUAGAGCACAUAGCCCUGAUACACAUGUGCACUUUCUUGUCACUAGAUUUCAGGCAUCUGCUUCUGCCAUAUUUGGGGCCUUUUAAUUCUCCCUUUUUCCUCUGAUGAGAGUUCUUUACACUAACAAACUCUCUGGCUCUUAGAGAAAAUGAAUUCUUUGUAUUUGUAAUAAAAACACUCUUAUGACCCUUAAAAAAUGUUAUUUUAAUUAGUAUUGCAGGACAUUUGUAAAGAAUGUACAAAUUAAUUUAAAUCUUAACCCAGACAUGGACAUUUUAUGGGCAGGAAAAAGUGACUCCUUCAAUUUAUGAAAAAUAGAGUCACAACACAGGAAAAAGCAUGAUUUUUCAUAUGACAUGACAUAUCACAUAUAAUCACAUGUGAAGAUUGAAAUAGUCGUGGUAGUACUCAGUUUAUACAAUCAUAAAAAUUAUGACUUCAUAAUAAAAAAAUAGUUAACUGAAAACACUUGAUAAAGUUUUCUAGUCUUUGUCUAGCAUAGGAGGAGAAACAGUGUGUGUAAAACUAUUCUAAUAAAUGAUUUAAGGAAAAAAAUGAGUUCUGGGUUUUAGAGAGACACUCUGAUUUUGAAUUAUUAGAGGUUCAGGGCCAAUUUCAGGCAUCAUGACAGAAAGUUCAAUUUUGUUGAGGUUAGUGAUUGUAAAGCAGGAAGGAACAGUCUGUCCUUAUCUCACAUUAUUAUUUCUAUUAUCAGUAAAUGCCUUCUGGUUUAGAGAAAAAGCAAUAUAUUGUGGGUAUUUUUAUUUGAUUCCUUUGCACUUUUAAUUGUUUCAAACUGCCAUUAUUUUGAAGCAAAGAUCUACGGAGUUAGUAUAGGAAAAUGACACAGUAUAAGCUUCUAUAAAAAUAUUCUUACC
Columba livia (rock pigeon) is the source of this 7898-nucleotide long non-coding RNA. RefSeq lists it as uncharacterized. Lineage: Eukaryota; Metazoa; Chordata; Aves; Columbiformes; Columbidae. The record is from RefSeq and is a predicted model, not a curated record. The transcript is spliced from 3 exons.